RNAcentral lists this ribosomal RNA (466 nucleotides) under uncultured bacterium. RNAcentral's name for it is "partial 16S ribosomal RNA". It matches the Rfam family "Bacterial small subunit ribosomal RNA", at positions 28 to 507 of the family's 1533-position model. The record is from RNAcentral.
GAUGAACGCUGGCGGCGUGCUUAACACAUGCAAGUCGAACGAUGAAGCCCAGCUUGCUGGGUGGAUUAGUGGCGAACGGGUGAGUAACACGUGAGUAACCUGCCCUUAACUCUGGGAUAAGCCUGGGAAACUGGGUCUAAUACCGGAUAGGAGCGCCUACCGCAUGGUGGGUGUUGGAAAGAUUUAUCGGUUUUGGAUGGACUCGCGGCCUAUCAGCUUGUUGGUGAGGUAAUGGCUCACCAAGGCGACGACGGGUAGCCGGCCUGAGAGGGUGACCGGCCACACUGGGACUGAGACACGGCCCAGACUCCUACGGGAGGCAGAAGUGGGGAAUAUUGCACAAUGGGCGAAAGCCUGAUGCAGCGACGCCGCGUGAGGGAUGACGGCCUUCGGGUUGUAAACCUCUUUCAGUAGGGAAGAAGCGAAAGUGACGGUACCUGCAGAAGAAGCACCGGCUAACUACGUG